UCUGCAAUGUUGUACAUAAGUAGAUAGAACAUGGUUUGGUAUAGUAAUUACUAAGUUGAAUGAAAUUAUUAAUUAAAAUUGGCGGUGAAAAUUUCCCCCAUGACAAAUUUUUUCUAUUUUUUGCCCUCCAUUUAAUUGUAUUGAUCAGGAGACAGAUUCAUACAUAUUCAAAGGUAAUUCCUUUAACAAUAUUACUGAAUUGUUUUACUGAGUUCCUUCUUAUCCAAUCUUCUUGGCUGGCAAAUUACUAUUAAUAUUGAUGUGCUAUGUUGGGUACAAUUACUAAAUCAGGAUUGGCCCUUGAGUGUAGUGGUUUGCUGGUGACUCCAGCGGCUCUAUCUUGUUUCUGUGCAUAAGCAACUCUUCUUCAUAAAUGCCAAUCAUAACAUUCAAAACUUAAUUGGCCUAAACAAACUGCGACCCAAAGUAAUGAACCUUAUGCCUAUACCACAUGCCACUGAUCGUGGAAUGGGAUGACACCGAUCCAAAUUUUAAGAUUUCUGUCUACCUAUUCCAAUAGAUUACAAUACAUACCUUCAAAAUCUAACUUGCCAUUGUACAGUUGUUCCAAUUUUUAUUCUAAUAGAUGAUUUAGAUAUGUAUGCAUUACACAGUUUUGAGAAUUAAUAUAGUCUAAUAUAGAUUGAAUCAUAUAAGAGAUAAAG
RNAcentral lists this unclassified non-coding RNA (665 nucleotides) under Hevea brasiliensis (rubber tree). The record is from RNAcentral. Lineage: Eukaryota; Viridiplantae; Streptophyta; Magnoliopsida; Malpighiales; Euphorbiaceae.